GAUGAACGCUGGCGGCGUGCCUAACACAUGCAAGUCGAGCGAUCUUCUUCGGAAGAGAGCGGCGUACGGGUGAGUAACGCGUGGGUAACCUGCCCUGUACACACGGAUAACAUACCGAAAGGUAUGCUAAUACGGGAUAACAUACUUUUAUCGCAUGGUAGAAGUAUCAAAGCUACGGCGGUACAGGAUGGACCCGAGUCUGAUUAGCUAGUUAGUAAGGUAACGGCUUACCAAGGCGACGAUCAGUAGCCGACCUGAGAGGGUGAUCGGCCACAUUGGAACUGAGACACGGUCCAAACUCCUACGGGAGGAAGCAGUGGGGAAUAUUGCACAAUGGGCGAAAGCCUGAUGCAGCAACGCCGCGUGAGCGAUGAAGGCCUUCGGGUCGUAAAGCUCUGUCCUCAAGGAAGAUAACGACGGUACUUGAGGAGGAAGCCCCGGCUAACUACGUGCCAGCAGCCGCCGUAA
RNAcentral lists this ribosomal RNA (468 nucleotides) under uncultured bacterium. Its description in RNAcentral is "partial 16S ribosomal RNA". It matches the Rfam family "Bacterial small subunit ribosomal RNA", at positions 28 to 523 of the family's 1533-position model. The record is from RNAcentral.